UACUUCUGGCAAUGGGCAAAAGACACACAUUGUUGGUGGUGGUGUUUUCAUAUCAGUCUGGGGCAGAACAGAUGUCAGCCCUUUGUUCAUCCUAGUUUGAUGCCUAGCUUGGUGACCUAAUCUGUCUUAUGUCCAGGACUCACAA
Molecule: small nucleolar RNA, 145 nt
Organism: Meriones unguiculatus (Mongolian gerbil)
Lineage: Eukaryota; Metazoa; Chordata; Mammalia; Rodentia; Muridae
Product: small nucleolar RNA SNORA48
Exons: 1
Source: RefSeq, a predicted model, not a curated record